Molecule: ribosomal RNA, 501 nt
Filed under: Triticum aestivum (bread wheat)
Lineage: Eukaryota; Viridiplantae; Streptophyta; Magnoliopsida; Poales; Poaceae
Description: partial small subunit ribosomal RNA
Source: RNAcentral
AUGGAGGACGGCGCUGCGAGGGCGGCGGCGGUGCAGAAGCUGAUGGCGGCGAAGGCCAAGUCCGGCAAGAGCUUCUCCGACAUCGGUGCCGAGACGGGGCUCACCAACGUGUACGUCGCGCAGCUGCUACGCCGCCAGGCGCAGCUCAAGCCCGACACGGCGGCCUCGCUGCGGGCGGCCAUCCCGGCGCUCAGCGAGGAGCUCGUGGACCUCAUGAUGCAGCCCCCCUUCCGGUCCUACAACCCGGAAAUGGUCCACGAGCCCGCCAUAUACAGACUGAAUGAAGCUAUCAUGCAUUUUGGAGAGAGCAUCAAGGCAAUCAUCAAUGAGGACUUUGGUGAUGGAAUCAUGUCGGCUAUAGACUUCUACUGUACGGUCGACAAAGUUAAAGGGACUGAUGGAAAAGACCGUGUGGUGCUCACAUUUGAUGGGAAGUAUCUGCCUCACACUGAACAGAAAGCCGCGAAUAUGAUGUCGAAGUUGCCCUGCAAGGCACCUUGA